AAUGAACGCUGGCGGCAUGCCUAACACAUGCAAGUCGAACGAAGGCUUCGGCCUUAGUGGCGCACGGGUGCGUAACGCGUGGGAAUCUGCCCCUUGGUUCGGAAUAACAGUUGGAAACGACUGCUAAUACCGGAUGACGACGUAAGUCCAAAGAUUUAUCGCCGAGGGAUGAGCCCGCGUAGGAUUAGGUAGUUGGUGUGGUAAAGGCGCACCAAGCCGACGAUCCUUAGCUGGUCUGAAAGGAUGAUCAGCCACACUGGGACUGAGACACGGCCCAGACUCCUACGGGAGGCAGCAGUGGGGAAUAUUGGACAAUGGGCGAAAGCCUGAUCCAGCAAUGCCGCGUGAGUGAUGAAGGCCUUAGGGUUGUAAAGCUCUUUUACCCGGGAUGAUAAUGACAGUACCGGGAGAAUAAGCUCCGGCUAACUCCGUG
Molecule: ribosomal RNA, 433 nt
Filed under: uncultured bacterium
Lineage: Bacteria
Description: partial 16S ribosomal RNA
Rfam family: Bacterial small subunit ribosomal RNA
Source: RNAcentral